ACACUGGCUUGAUUUACUGUAGCUUUGUAGUAAGUUUUGAAACUAGGAAGUGUGACUACUCCAUCUUUGUUCUUCUUUUUCAAGAUUGUUUGGCUCUUCUGGGCCCAUUGCACUUAACACCUAAAUUUUAGGAUCAACUUUGAUUUCUGCAAAAAAAAGGUACCUGGGAUUUUGAAAGGUAUUGUGCUGACUCUGUAAAUCAGUCUGGGAGAUAUUGCAUUUUAACAAUAUCAAUUGUUCCAAUCCAUGAAUAUGCACUGUCUUAACACUUAUUUAGAUCUUUAAUUUUUUUCAACAAAAUUUUAUACUUUUCAAUUUAAAAGUCUUGCAUUUUUUUGUUACAUAUUACUAAGUAUUUUAUUCUUUUAGAGAGUGGGAUGGGAAUAGGGCAAGUGAAAACACCACAAAACUCACUGUUUUCACAGAGAUUUAGUCAUUUUUAUUGAAUAAAUGCUCUUCCAAUUGUUGUAAAUUGUUAAUUUGCAAAGUUUUGAAACAACCAUUCUUGCCAGUGUUCUCACUUCUUUCAUGGAGGAGUGGAUUUUCUGAAUUUUUUCUGACAUACCAGAAAUCAGAACUGUCUAUUAUUUAUACCACUGUCUUAUUUUAGUUAUCUGCCUGGUUUCCGAGGACAUUUGAGACAUCAAGGCAGGUGACUCAAACAGAGAUGUAUGACACAGAAGUUCAUCAGGUCACCAGGCAUCGUCAUGGCCAACGAGGUUAUAUUAACAGAUAUAUUGGGUUAAAGUUACCAAUAUGGAGGCCACAGGUAGGGUAGUGUCAAGGAGUCAUACUAGGAGUUGUUCCUCAGUGAACUGAAAGUCAAAGAGCCAUGAAGUGGCCAAUAAUCAGGUUUGUUUCUUGAUAGAGGCUCAAACCAAGAGGAAUAUCAUUACACCCCAAAUCUAGGAGAGACAAAUGCAUCUCAAAUGUCAACAUUAAUCAAUUCAUAGUUGUGACCUGGAGCUCGGUGUUGAGAAGACUCUAAUCACAUGUGGGCUUAGUGCCAAUCACUGAAUCAAUCAAUCAGAUCAACUAGAAAAUAAUGGCCACUCAAAUAGGGUGAAAGAGGAGAUUAAAGGGAUUAUUUAGGGAACUAUGGACAGAGUUAAAGGAAGUUAAUUAGGAGGGUCUUGUACUAUAGGCCAGAAAUAGUGAUUGCUGCUCUGAAGCCUGAACAACCUUCAUUCAGCAGGAUUGAUUAAAGAAAUGAGGGUUUUAGUGACUGAUGUAGAGUGGUUUUGUUUUUUUUUGGGGGGGGGGCACACCUGUGGCAUAUGGAGGUUCCCAGGCUAGGGGUCUAAUUGGAGCUAUAGCUGCCAGCCACAGCCACAGCCACAGCCAUGCCAGAUCUAAGCCAGAUCUGUGACCUACACCACAGCUCAUGGCAAUGCCAGAUCCUUAACCCAUUGAGCGAAGCUAGGGAUCAGACCUACAACCUCAUGGUUCCUAGUCAGAUUCGUUUCUGCUGCGCCAUGACAGGAACACCUAGAGUUCUUUUUUUGGCCACUUCUUGUACCAUAACUGAGGUAGGUUGUAAUAAAAUCCAUACUUUUCCUUAAAAAUUUCAGAAUCUCUUGAUUGUAAAUGCUUGGGUAUAUUUUUAUAGGUGAACAAAUGCAAUUUAUUAUUAACUUCUAUCAAACAUUCCAACUCCAUCUAAUAUAUGAGAGAUUCUAAAUUACCAAGGAGCUGCACUAUAGAUUUAAUUAUCUUGCUGAAUCCUUACCACAAAUAAAUCAGCAUUGCAUUGUUUGAAAGCCCCCAAGACCACUCUCACUUCUGACACUAACUGCAAAUUUGAGGGUACCCAAGAUCCACCUCAGGUUCAAUAAUUUGCUAUGACCCGCGGAACUCACUAGAAGCUCUUAUACUCACAGUUAUAAUUUACUACAGUGAAAAGAUAGACAUUAAAAUCAGCAGAGACAAGAGGCACAUAGGCCAGUGUCAGGAGAGAUCUAAGCAUGACCUUCCAGUCUUCCCAGUGGAUUUGUGGACCCUGGUAGCUUCUCUUAGAAAUGCAUGAUAGAUACAUGAAGUAUUGCCAACUAUGACCCUUACCUGAGUUUUUGUGUCCAGAGUUUUUGUUGAGGUUGGUUGUAUAGUCAUGGUUAACUGUCUGUAUGGCUGACCUUAAUUCUCCAGCCCCUUCAGAGGUCAAACUAAUAUUGCAUGGUCCAAGACCUCCCACCAUAAGUCACGUGUUGCAUAGACCAUCUGGUGUUGUCUCCAGGUUCCCAAGUAAAUAAAGACACUCUUAUCAGGCAGGAUGUCCCAAGUAUCAGAAGUUACGUCACAGGAGCCAAGGGCAAAGGCUAGCUCCUUAGACAAGUUUAAUCCUUUACCACACAAGUAUGUAGAGUUAUAGAAUCGUAAUUUAAAAAACAGAAUGGGGGAUUCCUUCAAGCAGGCAGACAUCUGAUAGGGAUUUUCCUAUUGUCCUUGUAGCUCAUUGAUAUUUAGUGUAUGUAAGAACUAUUAUACACAAAAUUUUGCAUGCUGGACAUCCUGGGAUAUGUGAGGGAAUUUCAAGGGACUUUUUACUUUACAGCUUAACUUAUAAAAAUAUCUUGUCACUAUACCUAAUUCCCACCACAAUGAAAUACAUAAGCAGCUGCUGCUAUAAAGAAAUAAAAACAAAAGCAAACAAAAACACCCUAAAUAAAGAAAUUGUUUUUACAAAAGAAUAUAAUCUGGAAAUUGAACUUCUGCUACAGUUACAAUUUACAUUAUAGCCAUGAACAAGUUCCUGUUGUGGCUCAGCAGGUUAGGAACCCAACUAGUGUUCAUGAGGAUGCAGGUUUAAUCCCUGGCCUCACUCAGUGGAUUAAGGAGCUGGUGUUGCUAUGAGCUGUGGGGUCAAAUUGGAGCUGCAGCCACCAACCUAUGCCACUGCCAUAGUAACGCCCGAUCUGAGCCAUAUUUGUGACCAACACCACAGCUCACAGCAAUGUCAGAUCGCUGACCCACUGAGCAAGGCCAGGGAUUGAACUGCAUCUUCACAGACACCGGUUGGGCUCAUUUCUGCUGAGCCACAGCAGGAAUUCCCUGUCCUUAUUCUUGAAUUAGACUUUAGUUAAGCAUGGAAUUCUAUGUCGACCAUAAUUGCCUUCAGCAUUUUCAAGAUAUUACCCCACUAUCUUGCACCUAUUGUUGUGGGUGAGAAGUCCAUUGCCAUCAUGAUUGUCUUGCCUUUAUAGGCAAGAAUCUCUUUUCUCUAUUUGCUAUUAAAGCUUUUUCUCUUUACACCUGAUGUUUUGUGGUUUCACUAUUACGUGUCCAUUUCAUUUCAUUUUUCUAGCACAAAAUUGUUUGUUCCUUCAACUUGAAGGCUCUCAUUUUUCUUCAAUCCUAGAAAAUUCUCAAUCAUUUUCUAGAAUAAGGUCCUGCUGCAAGCGAUACAAAGAAACAAGCAAAGCCCAGAAAACCUCUAAGUUAGUGUGGCUUAUACAAGAUAGAAAUUUCUUUCUCACAUAAAUUAGGUCUUCCAGGUAGUGUCUGAUGAUGCCAGGGGUUCAGGGACUCUUCUAUUUUAUUGAUCCACUAUCCUCAGCAAGCACAUUCUCUACUCAAACUUAAACUAUAACAUCUGCAUUCCAGUUGCUAGGAAGGAAGAAGUACAGAGACGUGCCUACCUCCUCCUUAUAAAUACAUUUCUGGCAGUUGUAACUGCUGUUUUAGUUGCAUCUCAUACAUAGUCAUAUGGUCAAUCUAGAUACAUGGGAAGCUGGCAAAUACUGUCUUUAGUUGGGCAGCUGAAUUCCCAGCUAAAACUGGGUGAUUCUAUGAAUAAGGCAGAGGGGAAGAUCGGUUCCUGGGAACAACUAGUAGUCUCAAGCAUAGCCAUUUUUAUGAUUGCAAAUUUCUCUCACAUAUUCUCUAUUAUGUCUCUCUGAAACUCUUAGUAAUGUUCUAUUCUCUUUGCCUCUUUUUAAUGUUAUUUUUGUGUUACUUUCUGUGAGAGUUCUUCAGCUCUUAUUCCAAUUUACUGAUUUCCUUCCUUCCUUCCUUCCUUCCUUCCUUCCUUCCUUCCUUCCCUCCUUCCCUCCUUCCUUCCUUCCUUUCUUUCUUUCUUCACCAUGCCUGCAGCAUAUGGAAGUUUCCAGUCCAGGAAUUGAAUCUGAGCCAUAGCUGUGAUCUACGCUACAGCUGUGGCCAGAUCCUUUAACCCACUGCUCCAGGCAAGGGAUCAAACCUGUGACUCCAUAGCAACCCAAGCUGCUGCAGUCAAAUCCCAAACCUACUGUACCACAGCAGGAACUUCAAAUACCUUCUCUCUCUUUUUAUUUUUGGCUGUACCCACAGCACAUGGAAGUUUUAGGUUCAGUUUUUUUAGUAUGGUUUUUAUUCUCUUAUGUCUCAAAUCAUUCAAGAAUACUUACUUCAUAGUCUCUUUGCUCUGUAUCUGUAAUUCUUGGGGGAUAAAUUCUGCUAACUUCUUCCCAUAGAAGACAUAGAUAUAUAGAUACAGAUAUACAACAUAUACACACGUAUGUAUGUAGAUAUCUGUAUAUAUGUGUAUGUGUGUGUACGCACAUGUGUAUUUUUUUCAUCUCAUCUUGGGUAUUUCUAUGUUUCAUGGGUGUAGGAUUGUAAAGUUUAUGAUGGAGCAAUUUUGUUUUGUCUCUACCAGUGUCCUUCACGUUUCCCUGGUUCAAACCAGUUUUUCUGUUGCUACCUCAGUUUGAGUUUCCUGCACUGUUCAUGAAUACACAUUUGGCCCCUACUCUUGCGUAUAGCUCAGUUUGGGAGGUAUUUCAUGUGGGUGGUAAUCAGUCACUUUCUCCCCUAAUUCUCAGGCUAAUGGGAGGAUAUAUUCUAAAAUACUUUUCACAGCACAAAAGCUAUUCUGGAAUCCUGGUUCUAUGCUCAGCUCCAACUCCACUGCUCUUGGGAUCUCAAUUCCCCUUCCAGCUCAGCUCAGCUAUUAAAAUCCCAGGUCCUGGAGUUCCUGUAGCAGUUCAGUGGAAAUGAACCCAACUAGUAUCCACGAGGAUGCAGGUUCAAUUGUUCUAUCCCUGGCCUCAUUCAGUGGGUUAAUGAUCCGGUAUUGCUGAUAGCUGUGGUGUAGGUUGAAGUCAUGGCUCAGAUCAAGCACUGCUGUGGCUGUGGCAUAGGCUGGCCCCCAGCCUGGGAAUUUCCAUAUGCCAUAGUUCUAGCCCUUAAAAAAGAAAUUAAAAAAAAAAAAAGGAAAAAAAAA
Molecule: long non-coding RNA, 5200 nt
Filed under: Sus scrofa (pig)
Lineage: Eukaryota; Metazoa; Chordata; Mammalia; Artiodactyla; Suidae
Description: lncRNA (ENSSSCG00045015751.1)
Source: RNAcentral